UCCCUAGUGGCUCAGACAGUAAAGCAUCUGCCUGCAAUGCAGGAGACCUGGGUUUGAUCCCGGGGUUGGGGAA
Non-coding RNA from Bos taurus (domestic cattle), 73 nucleotides. The record is from Rfam. Lineage: Eukaryota; Metazoa; Chordata; Mammalia; Artiodactyla; Bovidae.